RNAcentral lists this ribosomal RNA (1340 nucleotides) under uncultured bacterium. RNAcentral describes it as "partial 16S ribosomal RNA". It matches the Rfam family "Bacterial small subunit ribosomal RNA", at positions 28 to 1381 of the family's 1533-position model. The record is from RNAcentral.
GACGAACUCUGGCGGCGUGCUUACACACGCAAGUCGAACGGUAAGGCUCCAGCUUGCUGGGGUACACGAGUGGCGAACGGGUGAGUAACACGUGGGUGACCUGCCCUGCACUUCGGGAUAAGCCUGGGAAACUGGGUCUAAUACCGGAUAGGACUGCACCGUGAGGGUGUGGUGGAAAGUUUUUUCGGUGUGGGAUGGGCCCGCGGCCUAUCAGCUUGUUGGUGGGGUAAUGGCCUACCAAGGCGGCGACGGGUAGCCGGCCUGAGAGGGUGGACGGCCACAUUGGGACUGAGACACGGCCCAGACUCCUACGGGAGGCAGCAGUGGGGAAUAUUGCACAAUGGGCGGAAGCCUGAUGCAGCGACGCCGCGUGGGGGAUGACGGCCUUCGGGUUGUAAACUCCUUUCACCAUCGAUGAAGGGUUUCUGACGGUAGAUGGAGAAGAAGCACCGGCUAACUACGUGCCAGCAGCCGCGGUAAUACGUAGGGUGCGAGCGUUGUCCGGAAUUACUGGGCGUAAAGAGCUCGUAGGUGGUUUGUCGCGUCGUCUGUGAAAUUCCGGGGCUUAACUCCGGGCGUGCAGGCGAUACGGGCAUAACUUGAGUACUGUAGGGGAGACUGGAAUUCCUGGUGUAGCGGUGAAAUGCGCAGAUAUCAGGAGGAACACCGGUGGCGAAGGCGGGUCUCUGGGCAGUAACUGACGCUGAGGAGCGAAAGCAUGGGGAGCGAACAGGAUUAGAUACCCUGGUAGUCCAUGCCGUAAACGGUGGGCGCUAGGUGUGGGUUUCCUUCCACGGGAUCCGUGCCGUAGCUAACGCAUUAAGCGCCCCGCCUGGGGAGUACGGCCGCAAGGCUAAAACUCAAAGGAAUUGACGGGGGCCCGCACAAGCGGCGGAGCAUGUGGAUUAAUUCGAUGCAACGCGAAGAACCUUACCUGGGCUUGACAUAUACAGGAUCGCGCCAGAGAUGGUGUUUCCCUUGUGGCUUGUAUACAGGUGGUGCAUGGUUGUCGUCAGCUCGUGUCGUGAGAUGUUGGGUUAAGUCCCGCAACGAGCGCAACCCUUGUCUUAUGUUGCCAGCACGUUGUGGUGGGGACUCGUAAGAAACUGCCGGGGUUAACUCGGGGGAAGGUGGGGAUGACGUCAAAUCAUCAUGCCCCUUAUGUCCAGGGCUUCACACAUGCUACAAUGGUCGGUACAGUGGGUUGCCAGUCCGUGAGGGCGAGCUAAUCCCGCAAAGCCGGUCUCAGUUCGGAUCGGGGUCUGCAACUCGACCCCGUGAAGUCGGAGUCGCUAGUAAUCGCAGAUCAGCAACGCUGCGGUGAAUACGUUCCCGGGCCU